GAUGAACGCUGGCGGCGUGCUUAACACAUGCAAGUCGAACGGUGAAGGCGGAGCUUGCUCUGCUGGAUCAGUGGCGAACGGGUGAGUAACACGUGAGCAAUCUGCCCCUGACUCUGGGAUAAGCGCUGGAAACGGCGUCUAAUACUGGAUACGAGCUGCGAAGGCAUCUUCAGCAGCUGGAAAGAACUUCGGUCAGGGAUGAGCUCGCGGCCUAUCAGCUUGUUGGUGAGGUAACGGCUCACCAAGGCGUCGACGGGUAGCCGGCCUGAGAGGGUGACCGGCCACACUGGGACUGAGACACGGCCCAGACUCCUACGGGAGGCAGCAGUGGUGAAUAUUGCACAAUGGGCGAAAGCCUGAUGCAGCAACGCCGCGUGAGGGACGACGGCCUUCGGGUUGUAAACCUCUUUUAGCAGGGAAGAAGCGAAAGUGACGGUACCUGCAGAAAAAGCGCCGGCUAACUACGUG
RNAcentral lists this ribosomal RNA (468 nucleotides) under uncultured bacterium. RNAcentral's name for it is "partial 16S ribosomal RNA". It matches the Rfam family "Bacterial small subunit ribosomal RNA", at positions 28 to 507 of the family's 1533-position model. The record is from RNAcentral.